GGCACCCUGAUCUAGCCAUGCCGCGUGAGUGAUGAAGGCCCUAGGGUCGUAAAGCUCUUUCGCCAGGGAUGAUAAUGACAGUACCUGGUAAAGAAACCCCGGCUAACUCCGUGCCAGCAGCCGCGGUAAUACGGAGGGGGUUAGCGUUGUUCGGAAUUACUGGGCGUAAAGCGCGCGUAGGCGGAUCAGAAAGUUGGGGGUGAAAUCCCGGGGCUCAACCCCGGAACUGCCUCCAAAACUCCUGGUCUUGAGUUCGAGAGAGGUGAGUGGAAUUCCGAGUGUAGAGGUGAAAUUCGUAGAUAUUCGGAGGAACACCAGUGGCGAAGGCGGCUCACUGGCUCGAUACUGACGCUGAGGUGCGAAAGUGUGGGGAGCAAACAGGAUUAGAUACCCCGGUAGUCA
RNAcentral lists this ribosomal RNA (402 nucleotides) under Antarctobacter albus. RNAcentral describes it as "bacterial SSU rRNA". It matches the Rfam family "Bacterial small subunit ribosomal RNA", at positions 377 to 796 of the family's 1533-position model. Lineage: Bacteria; Pseudomonadati; Pseudomonadota; Alphaproteobacteria; Rhodobacterales; Roseobacteraceae. The record is from RNAcentral.